AAAGCAUCUAAGUGCGAAGCCAGCCGCAAGAUGAGAACUCCAUUGAGGGUCGUCAGAGACGAUGACGUUGAUAGGAUGCAGGUGUAAAGACAGCGAUGUCAAAGCCGAGCAUUACUAAUUGCCCGAACACUUUCUUUAG
This 139-nucleotide ribosomal RNA is filed under the name Segatella copri. RNAcentral's name for it is "partial 23S ribosomal RNA". It matches the Rfam family "Bacterial large subunit ribosomal RNA", at positions 2774 to 2925 of the family's 2925-position model. The record is from RNAcentral. Lineage: Bacteria; Pseudomonadati; Bacteroidota; Bacteroidia; Bacteroidales; Prevotellaceae.